GAUGAACGCUAGCGGCAAGCUUAAUACAUGCAAGUCGUGGGGCAGCAUGAAGUAGCAAUACUUUGAUGGCGACCGGCAAACGGGUGCGGAACACGUACACAACCUUCCGAUAAGUGGGGAAUAGCCCAGAGAAAUUUGGAUUAAUACCCCGUAACAUUGCGAUGUGGCAUCACAUUGCAAUUAUAGCUUCGGCGCUUAUUGAUGGGUGUGCGUAUGAUUAGAUAGUUGGCGGGGUAACGGCCCACCAAGUCUACGAUCAUUAGCUGAUGUGAGAGCAUGAUCAGCCACACGGGCACUGAGACACGGGCCCGACUCCUACGGGAGGCAGCAGUAAGGAAUAUUGGUCAAUGGACGCAAGUCUGAACCAGCCAUGCCGCGUGAAGGAUUAAGGUCCUCUGGNUUGUAAACUUCUUUUAGUUGUAAACCUCUUUUAGCAGGGAAGAAGGAAAGUG
This 452-nucleotide ribosomal RNA is filed under the name uncultured Bacteroidota bacterium. RNAcentral describes it as "bacterial SSU rRNA". It matches the Rfam family "Bacterial small subunit ribosomal RNA", at positions 28 to 477 of the family's 1533-position model. Lineage: Bacteria; Pseudomonadati; Bacteroidota. The record is from RNAcentral.